This 385-nucleotide ribosomal RNA is filed under the name uncultured Alphaproteobacteria bacterium. RNAcentral's name for it is "bacterial SSU rRNA". It matches the Rfam family "Bacterial small subunit ribosomal RNA", at positions 421 to 823 of the family's 1533-position model. The record is from RNAcentral. Lineage: Bacteria; Pseudomonadati; Pseudomonadota; Alphaproteobacteria.
GGUUGUAAAGCUCUUUUGUCCGGGAAGAUAAUGACGGUACCUGGAGAAUAAGCUCCGGCUAACUCCGUGCCAGCAGCCGCGGUAAUACGUAGGGGGCUAGCGUUGUUCGGAAUUACUGGGCGUAAAGGGUGCGUAGGCGGUUCUUUAAGUUUGGUGUGAAAUCUCGGGGCUCAACUGGGAAGGUGCGUUUAAUACUGGGUCUCUUGACUGCGGGAGAGGUGAGUGGAAUUCCGAGUGUAGAGGUGAAAUUCAUAUAUAUUCGGAAGAACACCAGUGGCGAAUGCGGCUCACUGGACCGUUACUGACGCUGAGGCCCGAAAGCGUGGGGAGCAAACAGGAUUAGAUACCCUGGUAGUCCACGCCCUAAACGAUGAUUGCUUGCUGU